AUGCAGUUGGAGCUGGGGUUGGAGAUUCACAGAUCGGUCGGAGGUGAGGUUGGUGAAAACCAGUCCUUGACGGCGGAUGAUGGCGGCAUCUUGGGGCGUCGUUACCUUGAUGUCUCCCGCCUCAGGUUGCUCCGGGAAACUCUAGAUCUGGGCCUCCUAGAUCGGACUAUGUCGACGUUCGGCGUUGUUAUACCUCCUGGGGACAUCGUUUUGGAGCAACUACUGGCUAGAGGGGUGGCUGGGCCUCCGCAUGCUUCUCGUGCGGUGACCAAGGUGGAGCGGCAUGCCAUCGACCUACCAUUUGAUGGGCACGCGCAGGAGGCUGGUGUUGUCCGACGUCGUGAUGACAUCAACAGCAGAAGGGUCUACUUGCCCCUUAAGAUGAGGGCACAUCAUCAACCUCGUAGGUAUGUGAGGGCACAUCAUCAACCUCAUAGGUAUGUGACUUUCGGUUGA
This 456-nucleotide ribosomal RNA is filed under the name Triticum aestivum (bread wheat). RNAcentral's name for it is "partial small subunit ribosomal RNA". The record is from RNAcentral. Lineage: Eukaryota; Viridiplantae; Streptophyta; Magnoliopsida; Poales; Poaceae.